This is a long non-coding RNA of Micropterus salmoides (largemouth bass), 729 nucleotides long. RefSeq lists it as uncharacterized. The transcript has 3 exons. NCBI's taxonomy places the organism in Eukaryota, Metazoa, Chordata, Actinopteri, Centrarchiformes, Centrarchidae. The record is from RefSeq and is a predicted model, not a curated record.
UUUGGUGGACUUCAGAUAGUUGAGACUUCAACAUGGCUUCUGGCAACGACGGGGCAGCUGCAAGUCUAACUCAACAUGUUCGGCUAGUUAUCCCCUGUUAUGAGAUGUUGUUUAAUUAUUAAUGUUAACCGGUUUAAUUGUGCAACUAUCAACAUAAGCUAACGUUAGCGAGCUAUGCUAGCGCUUCUGCAUGCUAAUAGGACCGUGACGAGACGAGGAUGAGGACGACACUGUUCCAUUGGAGAAAAAGUCUUGUCACUGGAUUUUUGAGAAAAUUCAUAGAAGAUGGUGCUACGUGAUCUGAUGAAGUUUUGGGUGGGGUGGGAACUGCCAACUAGACACCUUAAUGUUACCUCAACUUGUCCAGUGGCGCUCACCUGCUUCUUCAAGUUGAAGCUCCCCAGCCACUACCAGACCUACAAGAUCUUUCAGCAGGACUUGAUGAUGGCCCUCAGUUCCAUACGUUCUGGCUUUGGACUGGUGUAGGUGCAUAUGUCAACUUCUUGCACUCAGUCCCACUUUUGAAAUGGAAUCACUUAAGAGCAAUUCCUGUUAAUUUAUGCACCAUUUACUUUGAAGUUGGUUUGGUGAUUGUCUUUGGCCUAUGUGCACUAGUUCUUUAGUGAUUUUUUUUGACUGUACUGCUACGUUUGAUGAAUUUAUACAAGACUUCCCAGAAUUAUGUUCCCUUGAACAAUAAAGGUGUUACAUUUAAGUAGCAAAAACAAG